RNAcentral lists this non-coding RNA (30 nucleotides) under Mus musculus (house mouse). The record is from RNAcentral. Lineage: Eukaryota; Metazoa; Chordata; Mammalia; Rodentia; Muridae.
UAGUUAACCACUCUGCAGUGUAGAGUAACU